This 388-nucleotide ribosomal RNA is filed under the name uncultured bacterium. Its description in RNAcentral is "bacterial SSU rRNA". It matches the Rfam family "Bacterial small subunit ribosomal RNA", at positions 30 to 416 of the family's 1533-position model. The record is from RNAcentral.
AUUGAACGCUGGCGGCAUGCCUUACACAUGCAAGUCGAACGGCAGCACGGGAGCUUGCUCCUGGUGGCGAGUGGCGAACGGGUGAGUAAUGCAUCGGAACGUGCCCUGAAGUGGGGGAUAACGUAGCGAAAGUUACGCUAAUACCGCAUAUUCUGUGAGCAGGAAAGCAGGGGACCGCAAGGCCUUGCGCUCUUUGAGCGGCCGAUGUCAGAUUAGCUAGUUGGUGAGGUAACGGCUUACCAAGGCGACGAUCUGUAGCGGGUCUGAGAGGAUGAUCCGCCACACUGGAACUGAGACACGGUCCAGACUCCUACGGGGGGCAGCAGUGGGGAAUUUUGGACAAUGGGCGCAAGCCUGAUCCAGCCAUGCCGCGUGAGUGAAGAAGGCC